UCUCCUCCAUUGGCAUAGCUGCUGCUUAUUAUAGUGAAGAUAGCCUGGGUUGGAAACUUUUUUAUCUUGUUGGCUGUCUCUUUGUAGCUGUACAAAACCUGGAGGAGUGGGAAGAAGCUAUAUUUGAGAAAGAUGCAGGAAAGGUUUACUUAAAGUCAUUCAGCCUUUACAAAAAGCUUCUGACCUUUUCAAGAGCUGGCC
Molecule: long non-coding RNA, 201 nt
Organism: Protobothrops mucrosquamatus (brown spotted pit viper)
Lineage: Eukaryota; Metazoa; Chordata; Lepidosauria; Squamata; Viperidae
Exons: 3
Source: RefSeq, a predicted model, not a curated record